GCUAGGUGUGGAGGUGCACACCUGUAGUCCUAGCUCUCUGGGAGGCUGAGGUGGGAGAAUCGUUUGAGUCUAGGAGUUUGAGGGUGCAGUGAGCUAUGAUCAGACCACUGCACUCCAGCCUAGGCAACAGAGUAAGACCCUGUCUCAU
This 148-nucleotide non-coding RNA is filed under the name Gorilla gorilla gorilla (western lowland gorilla). Lineage: Eukaryota; Metazoa; Chordata; Mammalia; Primates; Hominidae. The record is from Rfam by way of RNAcentral.